CACACGACCUCUCGACCAUGCUCCUCCUCCCAAUGGAUGCCACAACACGGGUGGGCUGUCGCAUGCCGAUUCCUCCCGCCGCCUUCCGCGCCGUUUGCCGCCCCUGGUCCGGCGGUCCUCUUCUGCUUCCCGAUGGCCAAAUGCGAGCGCCCCUGCUGGUCCUCCUCUGCUGCCCCAAGAACGCGGGAGGUCCUCCUCUGCUGCUGCAGACGGACAAGAUCACAAGGCAGACGGCGGGCCUCCCCUGGAGUGACAAAAAUCCAAGCCUGGCGCCGGCCGCAUAUAAAAAUGCCUGACGCCGGUGCCUCCCUCUUCUGCCACCACCGGGAUCUCCCUCCCCACCAAACCCACGCACGUCCCCUGAAUCCAUCUAAUGGCGGCCGCCUCGCUCAAGCUCUGCUCCCCCAAAUCCCUCGCCCCUCCUCCGUCGCCCCAGCACUGCGUGGCCCAUCGACCCCGCCCGGUGCCUCCCUCCGGCCCACGUCGCCGUGUAGCCCGCCGCCGCGCCGGCUCCCGCCGCCUCCCCGGGGACCGCCACAUUUGAAUAGGUGCUGGAGCAGCUGAUCGACGAUGCCGACUUCUCGGAGGACAAGGUGGAGGCGACGCUGCAGCUGCCGCUCAACGAGAAGAACGGGGCGCAGCAGAUCGCCGCCUUCCUCGUGCUGCUCCGGGCCAAGGGCGAGACCUACGAAGAGAUCGUCGGGCUGGCUAAGGCCAUGAUGAGAAACUGCGUCCGUGUCGAGGGCCUGCACGACGCCGUCGACAUUGUCGGUACCGGCGGUGAUGGCAUAGGCACCGUCAACAUCUCCACCGGCUCCACCAUCCUCCCCGCCGGUACACUGAAGCUCAACUAUUCCUAAUCUACAGACUACACACUACCUACCAUUUUGCGUUCUAAAUUUUGGCCCUCUUAGCACCUUACAUGCAGCUCUGUUUCACAUUUCCCGGUGUUUGUGUUUGAACGAAAGGGAUAUUAGAACUCCCAUGUAGGUGACCAAUGUUAUGGGAUUGAGCAACUUCACCGGUAAGACUUGAUACAAAAGCAUUGUGAACAGUGAGGUAGUAUCAAGAAUGGGAUUGCCCAGUAUAUGAUCAAGUUUAUGUUCCAUACACAAGAGCAUUUAGUCACAUUUAGUGCAUCAUGUUCUGCUCCUGAUAUUCCAGCGCUUUCACUAUACUUUUCCCAACGAUUCAAUGUGAACUGAUUCUCAUUAUUUUAGUACAUGAUCCUUCCACACAACAAACAAUUGUCGUAGUUAAAAUGGGAAUUAUCAUGAUCCAACACAAUGCUCUAGGAAUUCUGCAUAUUCCCAAAAUGGUUCACAAAAUAUACUCUAUCACUCGAACUACCUUUUCAAUGCUCUCACAAAUCUGCACAUUCCCAAGCUACCAUGACUCAUUCAUCAAGUGGCACGAAAAUUACUACGCAAUAGCUUCUGAACCUUCUGAACAUGUUUUCAAUGAUCCACUAAUAUACGAAGUUUAGGCAAUCUCACUAAGAAUAUUUUAUAUCUUCUUUUUCCGCCUCCUCCCUAACAAUGCAUACUUUAUUUCUACAGGUUUAGAAAAUUUCCACUCAUCAGCAUUUGCAGCAUCUGAGGUAUUUUUUGUCACAUUUUCAUAUUUACUUCAACACUUGAGAGUGUACAUGUAUUAAGUUUCUUCAAUUGUUCACGGACUACAGGAUGUAGGUUCUUUUUACCUAAUUUUACAAUAUGUAAUCUGUUUCCAUUGUUGUGUAUUACAUUAUGUAUCUUUGUUAUGCGUUUGUAUAUUUUUUGCCUAUUGUGGAUACAAAUUUUACAAGGAAUCCUGUGUGAUGCUGAAUUUAUUCAAGUGAUGCAGAAUGUGAGAUUGUUGCAGGGCAUGGAUGAUAUUUUUUAUGAGGAAAACAGACCAGGUGCUUUAUUUGUUUGUCUGAUAUGUAUAAGUACAUGUUUAUUAUAUUUUUACCACUAAUAAUUUUGAGGACUUGAGCAAAGAGUUUGCGUCAUUGGUACUUCAGCAACAAAGUUACAAAUGAUGAGUCUUACAGUAGUGUAGGAACAACUUUGAGGUACAAGUUGUACACAUAGGUCUGCCAAAACAGUAUCACUGUUGCAUGUAUGCGUUGAUUACCACAUGAUAGUUACCUUGCUCUAAUGCUAGCUGGUGUUCUAGAGCUAUACAUCUAUAGGCACUCUAACUUAUUUAUAUAAUUUCCGUCUGCUUAUAAUCUAUAUUAUGUUUGGCUUGCUACUCUGAUCUGGAGUGAUGUUUGUUUGUUCGUUUCUAGGCAAACAGAUAGAUGACAGUCUAUCAAGUAUCUUACUAUUCAUACAUUGUGACUAAUAUUUUAACUUUUUUUGGCUGAAAUUCUCAGAGGUGUAGCAUGCAAAGCCUAAUAAAAUGGAUUGGGAUUUCAGAGUUGAUCUGUGAAUUGGAUUGUUACUUGGGUCAAUUGAUGGUUUCUAGCUCAUAACUGUAGCUAGAGUGACUAUACCCGCAUGCAAUGUCGGAAGCAGAUGGGUCUCCCAACAAGGGAUUAAAUGCAAAAUCAAUAAAUGCUCAAAUAAAUAAUGUCAGAAGCACACUUAGUUGAUAAUUUGUUGAUGAGCUGUGGGAUCACACAAAGUGUGAUAGAGGUGUACGUAGAGUCACAGACAUGGGUCAGCCUAUGGAGUUCUUGUGUCACAUAUCUGUUCUAGAGUAGUAAUUUGAGCUAAAUUCUGUUUUAUCAAUUUUGACUUCCGAGAAUUCUGAAGCCCGCAAUCAAUCUGUUACUUAAUUUUUUAAUGGGGUUGUUGUUUGGUUUCUUUAAACAACUACUCUGAACUGAAGCAUGCAUUUCAAAAGAUUGUUACAGUAAUGAUUUUCUCACUACAAAUGUGCUAUCUCCUAGCUUUGCCACUUUGGAAACAUUUCAUGAAACCGGGCUGUAAUCACCUACUGAAAUCGGAGAGGUUUUCAGAAGACUUGCUGAUGCAUGAUGACAUUGCUAAUUGCUAUAGUAGUCACGCAGAUGCAGCUUGGUGUAUUUUUUUCCUUCUUUCCCUUUAUAUUUUCUUCAUCCUUGUGCUUGGACAUUUGUAACUCAAGAGGUCACAAACUUCUGCAAUCUGGAGGUGUCAUAUUCAGACUGGUACAUAUGCAUGUAGCUUUUCAUGAAGCAUCAUUUUACUGAAGUGUCAAAUGUCUGUUCUCUUAUAGUCCAGGAGCCUGAUUCCAAAGGUGCGUAUGAGCUUAUUGACAUCGAUGGUGUGGUAAAUGUGACCAUAAGGAACUUGGAACAGGUGUACGUCUCUUAAUGGACAUCUUUAUGUUUUGCAUUGAACUUUGAUUUUAAUUGUUUUUGUGUACAUCUUCUAAAAUUCCAGGAUUGGCUUCUUACUCAUUACAAAUGAUUCCAGUCUUUAUUCUUAGUUUUUACAGUUACAAAAAUAACAAUGUUCAAACUCACUGACCUGUGCUUUCUGACAUGUCUUAAUUGUAUUGUUCAUUAUAUAUGCAUGUGGCGAUACUUCCUUUCAAUCUCUUCAUUAGUUAGUAACCUAGAUCAUGUGCCAAGUUUUACUUACUCGACACUCGCUACUCUUUUCCUUGUGCAAUUGUUCAGUCCUGGUUAUAUUUUGUGGUCUUUCUGAGUUGCAUAAAUAACUUGAAAAAAUUGGAGCUACUAAACCUUACCUGUACUGAUUUUUUUUCUGUUUUUCUUUAUCAAAAUACGGUUCUUCUUCAAAGUAUUUUUUUUGUUCUACUGAAUGUGCUUCUAAAAAAGGAUCUCAACAGAUCAACUGGAAGGAGAAGAGAAUAGCCAAAGAGAUGUUAAGAAGAAGACACAUGCUUCAGAUUAACUCCUAUUCCCGAACCAAUAUGCUUUUGAUGAUUGAAUUAGAUAAAACAAGUAUGUACUUCUAAAGGUUAAUGGAUUCUAAUAGUAUGAUUUUGACAUGCAAAUAAGUUUUCCAUAUGUCUGACUAUAUUGUGUUGUCGUGCAAGUAUACAGAUGAAUGAUCUCACUUUUGGGGACUUGGUUUUGUGAAUCGAUGUGUUACCUUGAGCAAAUAUCUAAUUAUUUGUACAAUGUUACAAUAUGUACUUUUACUAUUGAUAUAUCAUACUGUAUGUAGAAUCUUUCAAUACAUAUAUACUUGCGGCAACUACUAACCGAAAUUCAUUUUUCACCUACAAAAAUAUAUAGAAUCUUGUUCCAGGUUUUCAUGUUGAUACCUGAUUUACAUGUCCAUACUGUUGGGCUGUUCGAGCUAACACUGCAAGGCCUUACAGUGCCUCAGGGGCAUCUAAUAAAGUUUUUAGGUUUGCCCCUAGAACUAUUAUAUUCAGACAAUAUACUUGCUUGUGGAACCAUCAGAGCUGAAUCUUCUAGGUAAUUUUACAUAAUCACCGGCUGGGUGCCCACAAUCAUCCCUGAUUUGUAUUGAAGUGACAUAAGGUUUACUCAUGUUCUUAUAUUUUAUAUCUCUUUUCUGUUCUACUUGGUUGAUUUUCUCCUUCAUGUUAUUCAUCUACUACCCUUAUAAAAAGAAGAGAGGGGCAGAUCCAAAUAAUCACAUCCAUCCAUUAACAAGAUCUAAUGGCCUCUAAUCCUCUGAUGUUUAACCCUCCAAGCCAUGGCUUAAGCCACUAAUUCAUCGAUCGCUAACCCUGCCAGCCGUUUGAAAAAAAAAACCGCUGCCAACAACGCACGCCCACACCACACCACACGACCUAUCGCCCACGCCCGCACGACCUCUCGACCAUGCUCCUCCUCCCAAUGGAUGCCACAACACGGGUGGGCUGUCGCAUGCCGAUUCCUCCCGCCGCCUUCCGCGCCGUUUGCCGCCCCUGGUCCGGUGGUCCUCUUCUGCUUCCCGAUGGCCAAAUGCGAGCGCCCCUGCUGGUCCUCCUCUGCUGCCCCAAGAACGCGGGAGGUCCUCCUCUGCUGCUGCAGACGGACAAGAUCACAAGGCAGACGUCGGGCCUCCCCUGGAGUGACAAAAAUCCAAGCCUGGCGCCGGCCGCAUAUAAAAAUGCCUGACGCCGGUGCCUCCCUCUUCUGCCACCACCGGGAUCUCCCUUCCCACCAAACCCACGCAUGUCCCCUGAAUGCAUCUAAUGGCGGCCGCCUCGCUCAAGCUCUGCUCCCCCAAAUCCCUCGCCCCUCCUCCGUCGCCCCAGCACUGCGUGGCCCAUCGGCCCCGCCCGGUGCCUCCCUCCGGCCCACGUCGCCGUGUAGCCCGCCGCCGCGCCGGCUCCCGCCGCCUCCCCGGGGACCGCCACAUUUGAACAGGUGCGCACAAGCCGCAAUGCCUCCCGCAUCCCCUCUAUUUGUUCCGUCCGGUGAUUGACUGACCGGGUUUCCUUUCAAUCUCCUGUCUUGUGGCCGCGACGAUGCCAGGUGCUGGAGCAGCUGAUCGACGGGGCCGACUUCUCGGAGGACAAGGUGGAGGCGACGCUGCAGCUGCCGCUCAACGAGAAGAACGGGGCGCAGCAGAUCGCCGCCUUCCUCGUGCUGCUCCGGGCCAAGGGCGAGACCUAUGAAGAGGUGCGUGCGCGUCCUCCCGUGAUUCGUGAUUUCUGAAUGAGCAGAAAUGGAGAGAGAUUUCUGCGGCCGCUAAUUUCGAGUUUUGUCAAGCCGUUCUUCAGAUCGUCGGGCUGGCUAAGGCCAUGAUGAGAAACUGCGUCCGUGUCGAGGGCCUGCACGACGCCGUCGACAUUGUCGGUACCGGCGGUGAUGGCAUAGGCACCGUCAACAUCUCCACCGGCUCCACCAUCCUCGCCGCCGGUACACUGAAGCUCAACUAUUCCUAAUCUGCAGACUACACACUACCUACCAUUUUGCGUUCGAAAUUUUGGCCCUCUUAGCACCUUACAUGCAGCUCUGUUUCACAUUUCCCGGUGUUUGUGUUUGAACCAAAGGGAUAUUAGAACUCCCAUGUAGGUGACCAAUGUUAUGGGAUUGAGCAACUUCACCAGUGUUUGUGUUUGAACCAAAGGGAUAUUAGAACUCCCAUGUAGGUGACCAAUGUUAUGGGAUUGAGCAACUUCACCAGUAAGACUUGAUACAAAAGCAUUGUGAACAGUGAGGUAGUAUCAAGAAUGGGAUUGCCCAGUACAUGAUCAAGUUUAUGUUCCAUACACAAGAGCAUUUAGUCACAUUUAGUGCAUCAUGUUCUGCUCCUGAUAUUCCAGCGCUUUCACUAUACUUUUCCCAACGAUUCAAUGUGAACUGAUUCUCAUUAUUUUAGUACAUGAUCCUUCCACACAACAAACAAUUGCCGUAGUUAAAAUGGGAAUUAUCAUGAUCCAACACAAUGCUCUAGGAAUUCUGCAUAUUCCCAAAAUGGUUCACAAAAUAUACUCUGUCACUCGAACUACCUUUUCAAUGCUCUCACAAAUCUGCACAUUCCCAAGCUACCAUGACUCAUUCAUCAAGUGGCAAGAAAAUUACUACGCAACAGCUUCUGAACCUUCUGAACAUGUUUUCAAUGAUCCACUAAUAUAUGAAAUUUAGGCAAUCUCACUAAGAAUAUUUUAUAUCUUCUUUUUGCCGCCUCCUCCCUAACAACGUAUACUUUAUUUCUACAGGAUUAGAAAAUUUCCACUCAUCAGCAUUUGCAGCAUCUGAGGUAUUUUUGUCACAUUUUCAUAUUUACUUCAACACUUGAGAGUUUACAUGUAUCAAGUUUCUUCAAUUGUUCACGGACUACAGGAUGUAGUUUCUUUUUACCUAAUUUUACAAUAUGUAAUCUGUUUCCAUUGUUGUGUAUUACAUUAUGUAUCUUUGUUAUGCGUUUGUAUAUUUUCUGCCUAUUGUGGAUCCAAAUUUUAUAAGGAAUCCUGUGUGAUGCUGAAUUUAUUCAAGUGCUGCAGAAUGUGAGAUUGUUGCAGGGCAUGGAUGAUAUUUUUUAUGAGGAAAACAAGCCAGGUGCUUUAUUUGUUUGUCUGAUAUGUAUAAGUACAUGUUUAUUAUAUUUUUACCACUAAUGAUUUUGAUGACUUGAGCAAAGAGUUUGCGUCAUUGGUACUUCAGCAACAAAGUUACAAAUGAUGAGUCUUACAGUAGUGUAGGAACAACUUUGAGGUACAAGUUGUACACAUAGGUCUGCCAAAACAGUAUCACUGUUGCAUGUAUGCGUUGAUUACCACAUGAUAGUUACCUUGCUCUAAUGCUAGCUGGUGUUCUAGAGCUAUACAUCUAUAGGCACUCUAACUUAUUUAUAUAAUUUCCGUCUGCUUAUAAUCUAUAUUAUGUUUGGCUUGCUACUCUGAUCUGGAGUGAUGUUUGUUUGUUCGUUUCUAGGCAAACAGAUAGAUGACAGUCUAUCAAGUAUCUUACUAUUCAUACAUUGUGACUAAUAUUUUAACUUUUUUUGGCUGAAAUUCUCAGAGGUGUAGCAUGCAAAUCUUAAUAAAAUGGAUUGGUAUUUCAGAGUUCAUCUGUGAAUUGGAUUGUUACUUGGGUCAAUUGAUGGUUUCUAGCUCAUAACUGUAGCUAGAGUGACUAUACCCGCAUGCAAUGUCGGAAGCAGAUGGGUCUCCCAACAAGGGAUUAAAUGCAAAAUCAAUAAAUGCUCAAAUAAAUAAUGUCAGAAGCACACUUAGUUGGUAAUUUGUUGAUGAGCUGUGGGAUCACACAAAGUGUGAUAGAGGUGUACGCAGGGUCACAGACAUGGGUCAGCCUAUGGAGUUCUUGUGUCACAUAUCUAUUCUAAAAUAGUAAUUUGAGCUAAAUUCUGUUUUAUCAAUUUUGACCUCCGAGAAUUCUUAAGCCCGCAAUCAGUCUGUUACUUAAUUUGUAUAGUUGGCAUUUUUUAAUGGGGUUGUUGUUUGGUUUCUUUAAACAACUACUCUGAACUGAAGCAUGCAUUUUGAAAGAUUGUUACAGUAAUGAUUUUCUCACUACAAAUGUGCUAUCUCCUAGCUUUGCCACUUUGGAGACAUUUCAUGAAACCGGGCUGUAAUGACCUACUAAAAUCGGAGAGGUUUUCAGAAGACUUGCUGAUGCAUGAUGACAUUGCUAAUUGCUAUAGUAGUCACGCAGAUGCAGCUUGGUGUAUUUUUUCCUUCUUUCCCUUUAUAUCUUCUUCAUCCUUGUGCUUGGACAUUUGUAACUCAAGAGGUCACAAACUUCUGCAAUCUGGAGGUGUCAUGUUCAGACUGGUAUAUAUGCAUGUAGCUUUUCAUGAAGCAUCAUUUUACUGAAGUGUCAAAUGUAUGUUCUCUUAUAAUCCAGGGGCCUGAUUCCAAAGCUGCGUAUGAGCUUAUUGACAUCGAUGGUGUGGUAAAUGUGACCAUAAGGAACUUGGAACAGGCGUACGUCUCUUAAUGGACAUCUUUCUGUUUUGCAUUGAACUUUGAUUUUAAUUGUUUUUGUGUACAUCUUCUAAAAUUCCAGGAUUGGCUUCUUACUCAUUACAAAUGAUUCCAGUCUUUAUUCUUAGUUUUUAUAGUUACAAAAAUAACAAUGUUCAAACUCACUGACCUGUGCUUUCUGACAUGUCUUAACUGUAUUGUUCAUUAUAUAUGCAUGUAGCGAUACUUCCUUUCAAUCUCUUCAUUAGUUAGUAACCUAGAUCAUGUGCCAAGUUUUACUUACUCGACACUCGCUACUCUUUUCCUUGUGCAAUUGUUCAGUCCUGGUUAUAUUUUGUGGUCUUUCUCAGUUGCAUAAAUAACUUGAAAAAUCUGGAGCUACUAAACCUUACCUGUACUGAUUUUUUUUUCUGUUUUUCUUUAUCAAAAUAUGGUUCUCCUUCAAAGUAUUUUUUUGUUCUACUGAAUGUGCUUCUAAAAAAGGAUCUCAACAGAUCAUCUGGAAGGAGAAGAGAAUAGCCAAAGAGAUGUUAAGAACACCAAUAUGCUUUUGAUGAUUGAAUUAGAUAAAACAAGUAUAUACUUCUAAAGGUUAAUGGAUUCUAAUAGUAUGAUUUUGACAUGCAAAUAAGUUUUCCAUAUGUCUGACUAUAUUGUGUUGCCGUGCAAAUAUAUAGAUGAAUGAUCUCACUUUUGGGGACUUGGUUUUGUGAAUCGAUGUGUUAUCUUGAGCAAAUAUCUAACUAUUUGUACAAUGUUACAAUAUGUACUUUUACUAUUGAUAUAUCAUACUGUAUGUAGAAUCUUUCAAUACAUAUAUACUUGCGACAACUACUAACCGAAAUUCAUUUCACCUACAAAAAUAUAUAGAAUCUUCCUCCAGGUUUUCAUGUUGAUACCUGAUUUACAUGUCCAUACUGUAGGGUUGUUCAAGCUAACACUGCAAGGCCUUACAGUGCCUCAGGGGCAUCUAAUAGUUUGCCCCUAGAACUAUUAUAUUCAGACAAUAUACUUGCUUGUGUAACCAUCAGAGCUGAAUCUUCUAGGUAAUUUUACAUAAUCACCGGCUGGGUGCCCACAAUCAUCCCUGAUUUGUAUUGAAGUGAGAUAAGGUUUACUCAUGUUCUUAUAUUUUAUAUCUCUUUUCUGUUCUGCUUGGUUGAUUUUCUCCUUCAUGUUGUUCAUUUGAUUAAAAGAAUCGGGAGAAGGGAAGGAAAGAGAGAGAAGCAUAAUCUUGGGAGUAAGAGAGAUACUGACAGGUAGUUCCCAUCUUUUAUUCAUUUCAUCUUGCGUUUGGAUAUGAAGCGGUGGCAUAGUUGCCAUGAUAGUCAUUUUUCUGCCAUCAAUUGGAAGAUGUGAAGAGUGGUACAAGAUAUGUCUUGUUAUAUAGAAGAGUUAGAGCUGGAUGGAGUAUCAAACAAUGUAAUCAAAUAAUGCAUGGAAUUGUAAGCCAAUCAUAUAAGCAUAGACAUAUUUCCAGUUUUCCGAUGUAUAGUGGAAGUUACUUAAAUCAUUUGAAAUAUUAAUAUAAAGAAUUUUUUUA
Long non-coding RNA from Triticum aestivum (bread wheat), 9838 nucleotides. RefSeq lists it as uncharacterized. The record is from RefSeq and is a predicted model, not a curated record. The transcript is spliced from 3 exons. NCBI's taxonomy places the organism in Eukaryota, Viridiplantae, Streptophyta, Magnoliopsida, Poales, Poaceae.